AAUGAACGCUGGCGGCAUGCCUUACACAUGCAAGUCGAACGGCAGCAUGACCUCGCUUGCUGGGGUGAUGGCGAGUGGCGAACGGGAGAGUAAUGCAUCGGAACGUGCCUGUUAGUGGGGGAUAACGUAGCGAAAGUUACGCCAAUACCGCAUAUUCUCAGAGGAGGAAAGCGGGGGACCUUCGGGCCUUGCGCUAGAAGAGCGGCCGAUGUCGGAUUAGCUAGUUGGUGAGGUAAAGGCUCACCAAGCCAACGAUCCGUAGCGGGUCUGAGAGGAUGAUCAGCCACACUGGGACUGAGACACGGCCCAGACUCCUACGGGAGGCAGCAGUGGGGAAUUUUGGACAAUGGGCGCAAGCCUGAUCCAGCCAUGCCGCGUGCGUGAUGAAGGCCUUCGGGUUGUAAACCGCUUUCGUCUGGGACGAAAACGCUCCCUCUAAUACAGGGUGUGGAUGACGGUACCGGAAGAAGAAGCACCGGCUAACUACGUG
Molecule: ribosomal RNA, 490 nt
Filed under: uncultured bacterium
Lineage: Bacteria
Description: partial 16S ribosomal RNA
Rfam family: Bacterial small subunit ribosomal RNA
Source: RNAcentral